GCAUGGCUGAAUACUGUGUUCUUUUGUCAGUAGUUUACACAGCCAGACACCAUGCAAAAGUAAAAGCUUCCCUUGGAAAUCAUUUUGGUAUGCUGAGUUUUUCUUAGCAUAUCAUUAUUGAAAGUGAAUACAAAU
This is a small nucleolar RNA of Oryctolagus cuniculus (rabbit), 135 nucleotides long. The record is from Ensembl. NCBI's taxonomy places the organism in Eukaryota, Metazoa, Chordata, Mammalia, Lagomorpha, Leporidae.